CGGAGGAUCCAAGCGUUAUCCGGGAUCAUUGGGUUUAAAGGGUCCGUAGGCGGGUUUAUAAGUCAGUGGUGAAAGCCCAUCGCUCAACGAUGGAACGGCCAUUGAUACUGUAGAUCUUGAAUUAUUAGGAAGUAACUAGAAUAUGUAGUGUAGCGGUGAAAUGCUUAGAGAUUACAUGGAAUGCCAAUUGCGAAGGCAGGUUACUACUAAUGGAUUGACGCUGAUGGACGAAAGCGUGGGUAGCGAACAGGAUUAGAUACCCUGGUAGUCCACGCCGUAAACGAUGGAUACUAGCUGUUCGGAGCAAUCUGAGUGGCUAAGCGAAAGUGAUAAGUAUCCCACCUGGGGAGUACGUUCGCAAGAAUG
Molecule: ribosomal RNA, 366 nt
Filed under: uncultured organism
Description: bacterial SSU rRNA
Rfam family: Bacterial small subunit ribosomal RNA
Source: RNAcentral